This 497-nucleotide ribosomal RNA is filed under the name uncultured bacterium. Its description in RNAcentral is "partial 16S ribosomal RNA". It matches the Rfam family "Bacterial small subunit ribosomal RNA", at positions 28 to 507 of the family's 1533-position model. The record is from RNAcentral.
GAUGAACGCUGGCGGCGUGCCUAAUACAUGCCAGUCGAGCGAACGGACGAGAAGCUUGCUUCUCUGGUGUUAGCGGCGGACGGGUGAGUAACACGUGGAUAACCUACCUAUAAGACUGGGAUAACUUCGGGAAACCGGAGCUAAUACCGGAUGAUAUUUUGAACCGCAUGGUUCAAAAGUGAAAGACGGUCUUGCUGUCACUUAUAGAUGGAUCCGCGCUGCAUUAGCUAGUUGGUAAGGUAACGGCUUACCAAGGCAACGAUGCAUAGCCGACCUGAGAGGGUGAUCGGCCACACUGGAACUGAGACACGGUCCAGACUCCUACGGGAGGCAGCAGUAGGGAAUCUUCCGCAAUGGGCGAAAGCCUGACGGAGCAACGCCGCGUGAGUGAUGAAGGUCUUCGGAUCGUAAAACUCUGUUAUUAGGGAAGAACAUAUGUGUAAGUAACUGUGCACAUCUUGACGGUACCUAAUCAGAAAGCCACGGCUAACUACGUG